UGUAAAAUUUAAAACAAUCUAGUGAGUCAAUGAUUUGAUUCACCCCCUUAAAACCAGUGGGGAAUGUUAUACCCUGUCAAAAUUGACUCCAUUUUGUUGCCCUUCUAACCUCGCCAAGUUCCU
This is a long non-coding RNA of Octodon degus (degu), 123 nucleotides long. RefSeq lists it as uncharacterized. The record is from RefSeq and is a predicted model, not a curated record. The transcript has 3 exons. Lineage: Eukaryota; Metazoa; Chordata; Mammalia; Rodentia; Octodontidae.